CUGACCUCCAGACAAGCGGCACGCGACCCUCACGGUCCCGGGCGAGCCGCUCCUGUGCGCCGCCGCGGAGCUUCUCCAGCCGCGGCGCGUCGCUCUGGUGCAUCACGAACACCUUGAGCACGUUGAACAGUGCACCCGCCACCCACAUCACGCUCCCGCACAGGGUAAUCCACCUCUCGCUCUCGCCUGGCAGGGUGGGCUCACCGCGGCGGUGGAGGACGGCCGCGACGAGGAAGAGCAGG
This 242-nucleotide long non-coding RNA is filed under the name Hordeum vulgare. RNAcentral's name for it is "long non-coding RNA (HVUL_LNC010438)". Lineage: Eukaryota; Viridiplantae; Streptophyta; Magnoliopsida; Poales; Poaceae. The record is from RNAcentral.